Molecule: long non-coding RNA, 8033 nt
Filed under: Ananas comosus (pineapple)
Lineage: Eukaryota; Viridiplantae; Streptophyta; Magnoliopsida; Poales; Bromeliaceae
Description: long non-coding RNA (ACOM_LNC022386)
Source: RNAcentral
CUGUCACGCCCCGCCCCGAAUCCACUACCAAUUUGGCACGGUUCGGGCACAUCAGACGGACCGCCGAACAGACAGUACCUCUCCUGUCCGCCCAAGGCCAAGCAACCAGAUCAUGUACAAUUAAGCACCCAGGAAUUUGCUUAAAUAACAUACAUGAUCAAAUACGAUGCACACAAGUGCAAUACAUCUAAGAGCAAGAACCACAAGUGAUAUACAAGUGUAUAAAGAGAGAUAGUCUAACUAUCACAAUCAUUCAACAUUUACAUUAUUUGAAUAUAUUAUAUUUUCAUCUUCCAAAAUGUAAGUACAUGUUUUCUUCAAAAUACAAGUAGCUCUCUGAUAUCUAUCCAAAAUAUCAACUAGUACACGAGGGUACUCUAAUGCAUAAGGAAAAGCUACUAACUAGGCUCACUUAGGGCGCUAUGCCCUUGCCGCGGUCCUCGCUCGGCUCGCCUCUAUGUGUACCUGUACCCCAAAACCACACGGGGUGAGAACUAUAUAAAUAUAGUUCCCAGUGGGUUCGGCCGCCGACGCCGCCGGUUUUCCCACUAGGUCUAAGCUGGCACAGAUAGAGAGAUAGAUAGAUAGAUAAAAGUAAACUGCGACUACUCUAUCAUGCCAUCAACGAUGAUAAUGCAUGCAACAACUACUAUCAUGCGAGAAUCAUGUCAUGAGUAUAGAAAAGUACAUAGUAAUGCAAUCUACAACAUACACUAUGUCUACUCGAGGUAAUGCAUGAACAUAGCAAUGAUAUUCUACUAAUCAUGAUACUAUGCUUCAACAAUAAUGGAAAUGAGCUACUACAUAGUGAUGUAUCUACAACAUGCUACUAUGUCUCAAUGUCAACUCAAGGUAUGAAUGCAAAUCUGCUAUGCCAUUCAUAUUCUUUACCCAAUCUGCUUGGAAAUGAGCUACUACAUAGUGAUGUAUCUGCACAUGCUACUAUGCCUCAAUAAUCCAAAUGAACGAGCUACACAGUGCGUCGUGCAACUAUGCCUCGGUAGUAUCCAAUCUCAUGGCCAACCCGAAGGUUGCCACCCCGGGGUCAACCCCGACUCACUCUCAAUCUCAUAGGUGAGGAGAAACUGCACUCGCACACCGAGACCGUCUGCGGGACAACUACGUCUGCCCCUAGUGAAGUACUCCGGAGACUCGUGCCUCGGUGGAGCGACCACCGACAAGCAAAAACAGACUAGUGAGUAUGAUCCAAUCCUCACAAGAGGAUACCCUAUCUACAAGGGUCAACGUGCCUCUGCUGCACAAUGUACAAUGCAUCCUAGAUGCCGGGAUCUCUACUAUCCCUAAGUACAUGUCGAGUUUACUACACUAGACUCAAUGCCACUCGUUUAGUCAUUGUAGUAAAUGUCUCAAUUAUUCUACAUGUUAUUUGUUCAUGUCAUAGUGUCUCUCCUACACUAGUUCAAUGCCACUCUACUAGGCUAUGUCCAAAUUCAUCACUUUUGCCACUAUAGGAUUCUUUGUCUCAAGACCCAAUCCUCAUGCCUCCCUAGUCCAAGUGUUAGGUCCAUACCGCUACACUACUAAGUAAGCAUGCAAGGAAUGGAAAUAUACUUUACUAAUCCUAUAAUGCUCAAUCAAUAUAUGAUGAAUAAAAUUAACUUAGGCAUAAAAGGAAACCCGGAUGUUUCGGGAUGACACCCCCCACCUUUUACCGCUAUCACGAGGCUAGGUUCUCAAUUGCACGUUCCCUAGUCGCCGCUUUACUCUUCGGUCGCACCUGCUCGACGAAUCGACGAACCGACGCUUCACACGCGUUUAGGCACCUCAAACACAAGCUUUUCCUCAAACCAAGUAAUGAAGAGGAUGAAGACUUCACCUCCAAGCAACCUUUUUCUUCUCCAAAUGCACCUCCAAUUCCUCUCUUUGGUGGAGAAAUUGUUAGAGAGAGAGAGAUAUUUCUCUUUGGUUGCAAGUGUGAGGGAGAAAGAAAGAAAAUGCUCAAGUCCCCUAUAUAUAUAUAUAGGAAACUUGGCCUCCAAGUUUCAUAGGAAACUUGGUCUCCAAGUGUCAUAGGAAACUUAGCCUCCAAGUUUCAUAGGAAACUUGGCCUCCAAGUUAUCUAGGAAACUUGGCCUCCAAGUUAUCCAAGAACACUAUUCACAUUCAGUUUAGCAGCACGGUACAGAUAUUUUUCGUCUGCCCUGUCUCUCACAGAAAAUUCUAAAUCUUCUGUUUUCGCUUCCAUUUCAACACGGGUCACUCUAGACUUAUAAUUUAUGUCUAUAAGUCCAAUAAAAAUAGUAUCCCACACUAUUUUUAUUUAUUUCCACUUUUACAUUUAAAAUCCGGUACCUUACAUCCUCCCCUCCUUAAAAGGAGUUUCGUCCUCGAAACUCAAAUCUCAUCUCAAUUCGAGUUUUCGAGCAUCUGAAGGUAACAAUGCACUUUUGCACUCCGGAGUGGCCUUUUUCUUAUCGGAACUAUCCAAAGGCCCACUACAGAGGAUAUGAGACCAAAUUCACUCACAUUUGCUAAGCACAACACCAAAAGUGCAUUACGGUUCCGCAAGUCUUGGUGGCAGCGUAAGUCGACACUCGACAACUCUACACGCUCCAACACUACUUGCGACCGAAUCUAGGGAAUAUACUUCGAUUCGAUCACUGGCAUUGCCUAGAAGCAAUAUCAUUGGUGCAUCGACCCAUCGCAAGUGCCACUAUCACAAUCGAAUUUGCUUUACUACGAGAUGGCACCCUUCGGCACAUCUCCAAUGUUAAUCCUCCAGAGAGCAUAUUCUCAGAUCUCGUGUGGCAAUCCAAUAUCCAAGUGUCUCCAAGAGACCACUUUACUUUCUCUUUCCAUUGCCGCGGCUGAUAUCAAUUCGUUCCUGCAAUGAAUUCACAUGAACACUUUGUUCGCGAAUCCGAGCCAAACUCCUCGACAGAGUCACCGGCCAAACCGCUCACCUUGGCUUUCCAUGGGUGGACCAAAGGUCACCAACCAUACGUAGAUCUGCCGCCCAAACCUAUCUCAACACGUAGCGUCUCUCGCUCGCAAGCGUGGACCCAAUCAACACUACUGGGCGAAAUUCUCACUUGGGAAUUCGCACACACUCCGACUAGGAGCAACUAUGACCCCAAACCACGUCAGGUCCUCGGGUUGGGUUACUGCACACUCGGUGUGUCAUCGAUCUCGUAAUCCACACGUGGCAUUCCACGCUCCCGGGUCUAUGCUCGGACUACCACCCUGACCAAAACUCUGCCCUACCCGUAGGUACCGGGCCGCUGCCACUCGCAGCCGACUGUGCCUACCCAAUGGGCCCAGGCUUCACAGUCCACAAAUGGUCCAGGCACGGGUCGUCCCCAAGCACUACCCGCCGUCGUCAUCCUACACGACAUGUUCUACCGAGUCAGACGUACCACUAUCGUCUCCUAAGCACCUAGUGCGAGCCAUCAGCCCCACGAGUGACCCAUGGCCUGCUUCACACUUAGCAAUGCUACAGUGCUACUGCCAUCUCACUCCUCCGGCUGAAUAAAAUCCGCACUCCACGAGUAUUUACACUCGAGCGCUCUACGCCUCUACAGCGUUCCACACGAAAUCUAGCAUUAGGCAAUCUUGCCUAUGCACACCGGCCGCACAAGCACAGCCGCCUACCUCACCUUAAGGUACUACUAGGCCCAUGUGCUCAAACUUGGCCACUAAUCGACCGUCCUCUCAACAAUGACUCUACCUUCAUCGUCCAAUCUACCGGAACAAUAUCCGAAAUUUUCGGAUUACUCGGGUGCCUACAAAUAUCAUGGCUCAACUCUCGCAAUCUACUGAGCAUGUUGCCUUGAGAGUCGCCUCACCAUUUCAGCUACACCACGAGUCUCAUUUCUCGUCCAUAGGCCACUACUAGCAAUUUGCUAGUGACGUCUAGCUUUCUACCUGCUCCAGCAGACGCUAUACUCUCUCACACAAGCAUGCCCGGGUACCCUCACCUACCCGUCCACUGGUCCCUACUAUACUAAUGCAUAAAUAGUAGCAACUGACCAUGAAAAUGCAUGCAAUGCACCAAUUUAACAUCAUGCAGAAACACACAUUUGCUGCAACUAAACCAUACUUGCCAUGGCAUCUUCGACAGCAGCAUGUUCCUCGACUUGAGCGGCAAACACCUGGUCACUCGGAGUCGACUGGGCCACCUCAGGCUGACGAGGUGCCAUCGCGUGUCCAGCUAAAGCAACAGUAGGUGGGGCUCCUCCAUAAUGGCCCGAAAUCGCCAAAGACGAUGCAACAGACGGGACAGGCGAGGUCCUCCUUGGACAGUGGCGGCUAAUGUGCCCCGCCUGACCACACGUGAAGCAUCUUCCCUCUUUUUGCUUGCAAUGGUUCGGGUCAUGUUUACCUCCGCAAAUGACGCACUUCCGAGUCCCACAACUCUGGGACCGUGCUCGCGGAUACUUCGGAGGCUUCUUAGACCAUGACUGACCUCUCGAGCCAUCAGAAGCUCGCUUCUUACCGCCGUCCCUCUUGGACGCCUCUCGCUCCUCGCGGACGUGGGCAUUACUAUGCUCCGCCCGCAACGCUCGAUCAAGCACUUCCGCAAAUGUAGUGAGCUUCAGAAUGUAAACCGCUCUAUAUAUAUCCGGUCGGAGCCCUCUCACGAACCAGUUGGCCCGAUCUCUAUCGUCUCGCACCACGUCGGGGACGCAGUCAAUAAUACGUGAGAACUCCUGCUCGUACUCUUCGACCGAGCGGUUUCUUUGCUCUAACUUUCGGAAUUUAUCCUGGAGCUUCCUUUUCUCACUAUCGGGGAAAAAGUUGACAUAUAACAAGCUCCGAAACCCUUUCCAUAUCAACGGCGGAAGGUCGGGAGACCGAUCUCGCUUGAUCCGCUUCCACCACACCUUCGCCGCCCGCUCCAAGCAAUGAGUGGCGAGGGGAACUUUAUCAUUCUCUAAUAUAUAGAGAUCUUCGAAAAGAGUCUCCAUCGAGUCCACCCACGACUCGACCAUCCAAGGCUCAACCUUCUCCCCGUUGAACAUCGGUGGACUAAACUUCCGAAAUUUCAUAAGAGCCGCAAGCGCGCGGUCCCUCUCCGCUUCCGUAGCUACCUCUUCGGGAUUUGAAGUCCCCGAACCGGUAGCCACCAUCGUCAGUGCGGAUUGCGCCGCAACCGGCACAGCUGCCGUGGCCACACCCUUUGUCACGACGGGCACGACCACCGAAGGCGCGGGCCGCUCAACAUUCGCUUGAGCCGACGCCAGCUGCGCUACCAACUGUUGUAGCCUCGCAAUCUGGUCCUCUUGGCGCUGCAUCGCGCCGACCAUCGAAGCGAUCUGCGCUCGCAAUUCCCGCACUUCUUCAGAUCCCGACUGCUCGGGCACCUCGGGAGGUGGUGCCAGAGUGGAUCUAGUCACGGGGCGUCUCUUUGGUGCCAUAGCACCUGAAACGCAACAACUUGGUUAAUCACCUUAACCCGUUAAUCUCGUCGCAACUACUAGACAACGUGACUCAACUCCGCCAUAAGCGGCAGUACACUAUUGUAUUAGUCCUAACUCUUAGCGUCGUGUUGUCGGCCGCCAACACAAACUCCUCGAGCUCGGAACUAACACCGCUCGGAUCUAUCUCUAGUCACACUAGAGAUCUAUACUCGAUCCGACCCAAUCGGAUUCUUCCUCAACCGAUAUAGGUUUACGUUUCUCUCACGUACUUAUCACCUUAGGGUUGCCAACCUAGGUCUCCUAGGUCCAUCCUAGACUCUCUCUUUACUUGCUCUUAAUCGCUCUGAUACCAUAACUGUCACGCCCCGCCCCGAAUCCACUACCAAUUUGGCACGGUUCGGGCACAUCAGACGGACCGCCGAACGGACAGUACCUCUCCUGUCCGCCCAAGGCCAAGCAACCAGAUCAUGUACAAUUAAGCACCCAGGAAUUUGCUUAAAUAACAUACAUGAUCAAAUACGAUGCACACAAGUGCAAUACAUCUAAGAGCAAGAACCACAAGUGAUAUACAAGUGUAUAAAGAGAGAUAGUCUAACUAUCACAAUCAUUCAACAUUUACAUUAUUUGAAUAUAUUAUAUUUUCAUCUUCCAAAAUGUAAGUACAUGUUUUCUUCAAAAUACAAGUAGCUCUCUGAUAUCUAUCCAAAAUAUCAACUAGUACACGAGGGUACUCUAAUGCAUAAGGAAAAGCUACUAACUAGGCUCACUUAGGGCGCUAUGCCCUUGCCGCGGUCCUCGCUCGGCUCGCCUCUAUGUGUACCUGUACCCCAAAACCACACGGGGUGAGAACUAUAUAAAUAUAGUUCCCAGUGGGUUCGGCCGCCGACGCCGCCGGUUUUCCCACUAGGUCUAAGCUGGCACAGAUAGAGAGAUAGAUAGAUAGAUAAAAGUAAACUGCGACUACUCUAUCAUGCCAUCAACGAUGAUAAUGCAUGCAACAACUACUAUCAUGCGAGAAUCAUGUCAUGAGUAUAGAAAAGUACAUAGUAAUGCAAUCUACAACAUACACUAUGUCUACUCGAGGUAAUGCAUGAACAUAGCAAUGAUAUUCUACUAAUCAUGAUACUAUGCUUCAACAAUAAUGGAAAUGAGCUACUACAUAGUGAUGUAUCUACAACAUGCUACUAUGUCUCAAUGUCAACUCAAGGUAUGAAUGCAAAUCUGCUAUGCCAUUCAUAUUCUUUACCCAAUCUGCUUGGAAAUGAGCUACUACAUAGUGAUGUAUCUGCACAUGCUACUAUGCCUCAAUAAUCCAAAUGAACGAGCUACACAGUGCGUCGUGCAACUAUGCCUCGGUAGUAUCCAAUCUCAUGGCCAACCCGAAGGUUGCCACCCCGGGGUCAACCCCGACUCACUCUCAAUCUCAUAGGUGAGGAGAAACUGCACUCGCACACCGAGACCGUCUGCGGGACAACUACGUCUGCCCCUAGUGAAGUACUCCGGAGACUCGUGCCUCGGUGGAGCGACCACCGACAAGCAAAAACAGACUAGUGAGUAUGAUCCAAUCCUCACAAGAGGAUACCCUAUCUACAAGGGUCAACGUGCCUCUGCUGCACAAUGUACAAUGCAUCCUAGAUGCCGGGAUCUCUACUAUCCCUAAGUACAUGUCGAGUUUACUACACUAGACUCAAUGCCACUCGUUUAGUCAUUGUAGUAAAUGUCUCAAUUAUUCUACAUGUUAUUUGUUCAUGUCAUAGUGUCUCUCCUACACUAGUUCAAUGCCACUCUACUAGGCUAUGUCCAAAUUCAUCACUUUUGCCACUAUAGGAUUCUUUGUCUCAAGACCCAAUCCUCAUGCCUCCCUAGUCCAAGUGUUAGGUCCAUACCGCUACACUACUAAGUAAGCAUGCAAGGAAUGGAAAUAUACUUUACUAAUCCUAUAAUGCUCAAUCAAUAUAUGAUGAAUAAAAUUAACUUAGGCAUAAAAGGAAACCCGGAUGUUUCGGGAUGACACCCCCCACCUUUUACCGCUAUCACGAGGCUAGGUUCUCAAUUGCACGUUCCCUAGUCGCCGCUUUACUCUUCGGUCGCACCUGCUCGACGAAUCGACGAACCGACGCUUCACACGCGUUUAGGCACCUCAAACACAAGCUUUUCCUCAAACCAAGUAAUGAAGAGGAUGAAGACUUCACCUCCAAGCAACCUUUUUCUUCUCCAAAUGCACCUCCAAUUCCUCUCUUUGGUGGAGAAAUUGUUAGAGAGAGAGAGAUAUUUCUCUUUGGUUGCAAGUGUGAGGGAGAAAGAAAGAAAAUGCUCAAGUCCCCUAUAUAUAUAUAUAGGAAACUUGGCCUCCAAGUUUCAUAGGAAACUUGGUCUCCAAGUGUCAUAGGAAACUUAGCCUCCAAGUUUCAUAGGAAACUUGGCCUCCAAGUUAUCUAGGAAACUUGGCCUCCAAGUUAUCCAAGAACACUAUUCACAUUCAGUUUAGCAGCACGGUACAGAUAUUUUUCGUCUGCCCUGUCUCUCACAGAAAAUUCUAAAUCUUCUGUUUUCGCUUCCAUUUCAACACGGGUCACUCUAGACUUAUAAUUUAUGUCUAUAAGUCCAAUAAAAAUAGUAUCCCACACUAUUUUUAUUUAUUUCCACUUUUAC